ACGGAAGGCAGCAGUGGGGAAUAUUGGGCAAUGGGCGCAAGCCUGACCCAGCAACGCCGCGUGAAGGAAGAAGGCUUUCGGGUUGUAAACUUCUUUUACCAGGGACGAAGGACGUGACGGUACCUGGAGAAAAAGCCACGGCUAACUACGUGCCAGCAGCCGCGGUAAUACGUAGGUGGCAAGCGUCGUCCGGAUUUACUGGGUGUAAAGGGCGUGUAGGCGGAGAUGCAAGUCAGGAGUGAAAUCUAUGGGCUCAACCCAUAAAUUGCUUUUGAAACUGUAUCCCUUGAGUAUCGGAGAGGCAGGCGGAAUUCCUAGUGUAGCGGUGAAAUGCGUAGAUAUUAGGAGGAACACCAGUGGCGAAGGCGGCCUGCUGGACGACAACUGACGCUGAGGCGCGAAAGCGUGGGGAGCAAACAGGAUUAGAUACCCUGGUA
Molecule: ribosomal RNA, 437 nt
Filed under: uncultured Oscillospiraceae bacterium
Lineage: Bacteria; Bacillati; Bacillota; Clostridia; Eubacteriales; Oscillospiraceae
Description: partial 16S ribosomal RNA
Rfam family: Bacterial small subunit ribosomal RNA
Source: RNAcentral